Ruditapes philippinarum (Manila clam) is the source of this 1345-nucleotide long non-coding RNA. RefSeq lists it as uncharacterized. The record is from RefSeq and is a predicted model, not a curated record. NCBI's taxonomy places the organism in Eukaryota, Metazoa, Mollusca, Bivalvia, Venerida, Veneridae. The transcript has 4 exons.
AGAAUGAAUACAGAGUUAUAAGUACAAUCUCAAAAAAAGGUAGGCAGAGUGGAUUUGCUGAACAGCAUCCAUCCGCUUAUACGUCCGUGACAUAAAGUAGUUCAUGAUUUGCACUUAAAUCGCUUUAAGCAUACGCUAAGCGAUGACUUAUCCGUCCCAAUGUUGCAAAAAAUUAUGUUAAAGUUUUUUCUACCCGAAAAUCAUGCACUUUAUUCAUGUUUGACAUCUAAAAACAUCGAUAAAAAUUUCCUGUAUUUCUACGCUACAAAUUAUUAUUAACGCAUGCGCAGACUCACAAUAAUUUAUCGAAGAGAACAACACGCAAGAGAAAUUGCUCAGGAAAGAAUCAACAACCAUCGCACAUAUUGUUGACUGUAACCUUUUUGUCGUGGGUAUUGUAGCGGAUAUUCCUUGUGACGGAAAUAAAAGAUUAUUUACUUUAAUAUUCACUUGGAAAGGCUGGUACAUGUAGCUAGAAAAAGUACAGUAUAAGAUUAAAGAAAGACUAGAAGAUUAUUACAAACAACAGGUGGACAUGUGUCACUGUCAAGCGAAUGAAGAUAAGCAUCACACUCGGUGGGAAUCUCCAGUUUCCAGAUGUAGUGAUCAUAACUGUAUAGGCACCAUUAACACUUUGGACUAGUUGGAGUAUUUUAGAGGGCUAGUCUGAAUUGAAUCCCCUGUCAAUAGUCAAGGCCAGUCAUGAACAUUGUGUUGAAGGAAAAUGUUAAAACUCGGAUUUUCCGCUUAACCAAUCAUUACUUUACCUUAUAUUCAGUGCGGUAAUGUAGGAAAUGGUUACUUUCUGGAACAGAGCUGUCAAUUAUUUUUAAUUUAUUAGCUUGUUAGUGUUAUCGUCGGACAGUUGUGAAGUAAAAACAUCAUAGUUUGACUGUAUACAAGUUGCCUUAAAGAAAGUAUGUCGAAAUCUUAACAGUUAUUCGUUGAUUUUGUAGAAAUUGACUAGAAUUCACCUUUGUUAACAUGCAUCGCUUGGACGUCGAAAACGACAUGCAAUGACAUUUCAGUGAAAUUUGGAAAACUUGCUCGUAUUUUGGAGCAUUUUGUAGGAUUUCGAUGAAGUAAAAAGUGUUUAUGAUAGGAUACAUUAUUCCUAGAGACAACCAUAAAGAUAAAAUAGUGAUCUGGUGUAUUUUACCGAACAGUUCUUGUUUGUUUUGCAUGAUAUUUUUCUCUCGUUAGGGACCUUUAUUCUUUAUAUAUAGUAUUAUGAGCAUAUAUAUGGGUAAAUGUGGUAUAUAGUGCCUGUGGUUUUAACAUGUAUCUUAGCUUGCCUGGUGUAAUGAUAAGUAAUAAACCUGAGAAUUGAAACUAUGAGAAUAAA